RNAcentral lists this unclassified non-coding RNA (185 nucleotides) under Glomeraceae sp. RNAcentral's name for it is "partial contains 5.8S ribosomal RNA and internal transcribed spacer 2". The stretch from base 1 to 71 matches the Rfam family "5.8S ribosomal RNA", at positions 84 to 154 of the family's 154-position model. Lineage: Eukaryota; Fungi; Glomeromycota; Glomeromycetes; Glomerales; Glomeraceae. The record is from RNAcentral.
GUGAAUCAUCAAAUUUUUGAACGCAAAUUGCACUCUCUGGUAUUCCGGGGAGUAUGCCUGUUUGAGGGUCAGUUUAAAUAAAAAUCGGUGUGGCUGGUGCAUUUCGUGGUGCCGCACUGGAGUUGGGUAGUCUUGCCUUCGGUUAUGGUACUUGAAAUUUUGAAUGACUUUUUAGAACGUAUUUA